This is a transfer RNA of 135 nucleotides. It matches the Rfam family "tRNA". From Rfam's summary of the family: Transfer RNA (tRNA) molecules are approximately 80 nucleotides in length. Their secondary structure includes four short double-helical elements and three loops (D, anti-codon, and T loops).
GGCCUCGUAGUUCAAUGGAUAGAAUAGAAGUUUCCUAAACUUUAGAUACACCCGCCCGUCCCGAACCCUAUUUCACGAUUACACCAACUAUUUACGCAGGACGUUCGGGCGGGGGUUCGAUCCCUGUCGAGGCUA